GAUAUUGGACACCUGCAGGCAGUGAAGAACACUUCAUGCCAAAUCUCUGCUCUCAAUCAGAUUGACAGAUACCCACAAGACUACCUCCGUUGGUACCACUUCCAGAGACGGGCAGUCCAGCGCCACACAUCUGCAAGGAGAAAAUGUUGGGGAUCUUUGCCUGCCUCACGAGAGAAUCAAAGAAUGUCUCCACAGAACUUGAAGGCUUGAAGGUGUUGAAAAACAAAACAAAAACCAAAAGAAUUGCAGAAGUAUUCAUUAAAAAGUUUCUUUGCAGAAAUGAGCAAAUCAUUCAAACAAGACCACUUUUCACAAGUAAAUUGAAUUUCUGACAACCAAGUGAUGAAAAUUCUAGAUACAAUAAGUCAUUAAAAAACCCAACAUCUGUCA
This is a long non-coding RNA of Aquila chrysaetos chrysaetos, 390 nucleotides long. RefSeq lists it as uncharacterized. The record is from RefSeq and is a predicted model, not a curated record. Lineage: Eukaryota; Metazoa; Chordata; Aves; Accipitriformes; Accipitridae. The transcript is spliced from 2 exons.